RNAcentral lists this ribosomal RNA (497 nucleotides) under uncultured bacterium. RNAcentral describes it as "partial 16S ribosomal RNA". It matches the Rfam family "Bacterial small subunit ribosomal RNA", at positions 28 to 507 of the family's 1533-position model. The record is from RNAcentral.
GAUGAACGCUGGCGGCGUGCCUAAUACAUGCAAGUCGAGCGAACAGACGAGGAGCUUGCUCCUCUGACGUUAGCGGCGGACGGGUGAGUAACACGUGGAUAACCUACCUAUAAGACUGGGAUAACUUCGGGAAACCGGAGCUAAUACCGGAUAACAUGUUGAACCGCAUGGUUCAACAGUGAAAGACGGUUUUGCUGUCACUUAUAGAUGGAUCCGCGCCGCAUUAGCUAGUUGGUAAGGUAACGGCUUACCAAGGCAACGAUGCGUAGCCGACCUGAGAGGGUGAUCGGCCACACUGGAACUGAGACACGGUCCAGACUCCUACGGGAGGCAGCAGUAGGGAAUCUGCCGCAAUGGGCGGAAGCCUGACGGAGCAACGCCGCGUGAGUGAAGAAGGUCUUCGGAUCGUAAAACUCUGUUAUUAGGGAAGAACAAAUGUGUAAGUAACUAUGCACGUCUUGACGGUACCUAACCAGAAAGCCACGGCUAACUACGUG